This 95-nucleotide non-coding RNA is filed under the name Peptoclostridium acidaminophilum. Its description in RNAcentral is "Glycine sequence". It matches the Rfam family "Glycine riboswitch aptamer". From Rfam's summary of the family: This family represents the bacterial glycine riboswitch. Glycine riboswitches usually consist of two metabolite-binding aptamers domains with similar structures in tandem. The aptamers cooperatively bind glycine to regulate the expression of downstream genes. The record is from RNAcentral. RNAcentral also lists the same sequence under 1 other name. Lineage: Bacteria; Bacillati; Bacillota; Clostridia; Peptostreptococcales; Peptoclostridiaceae.
GGACGGGCCUCUGGAGAGACUCAUUAUGAGCGCCGAAGGGGAAAGCCAUAUAUACUAUGGUGAAGCUCUCAGGUAAAAGGGACAGGGGAUUUUAA